RNAcentral lists this ribosomal RNA (443 nucleotides) under uncultured bacterium. RNAcentral describes it as "partial 16S ribosomal RNA". It matches the Rfam family "Bacterial small subunit ribosomal RNA", at positions 338 to 795 of the family's 1533-position model. The record is from RNAcentral.
CCUACGGGUGGCAGCAGUGGGGAAUAUUGGACAAUGGGGGGAACCCUGAUCCAGCGACGCCGCGUGAGUGAAGAAGUAUUUCGGUAUGGAAAGCUCUAUCAGCAGGGAAGAAAGAAAUGACGGUACCUGACUAAGAAGCCCCGGCUAACUACGUGCCAGCAGCCGCGGUAAUACGGAGGGGGCAAGCGUUAUCCGGAUUUACUGGGUGUAAAGGGAGCGUAGACGGCGAUGCAAGUCUGAAGUGAAAGGCGGGGGCCCAACCCCCGGACUGCUUUGGAAACUGUAUGGCUGGAGUGCAGGAGAGGUAAGUGGAAUUCCUAGUGUAGCGGUGAAAUGCGUAGAUAUUAGGAGGAACACCAGUGGCGAAGGCGGCUUACUGGACUGUAACUGACGUUGAGGCUCGAAAGCGUGGGGAGCAAACAGGAUUAGAUACCCGGGUAGUC